UCGACCUCAAAUCAGGUAGGACUACCCGCUGAACUUAAGCAUAUCAAUAAGCGGAGGAAAAGAAACUAACAAGGAUUCCCCUAGUAACUGCGAGUGAAGCGGGAACAGCUCAAAUUUCGAAUCUGGCGGUCUUCGGCCGUCCGAGUUGUAAUGUAGAGAAGC
This 162-nucleotide ribosomal RNA is filed under the name uncultured Calostomataceae. RNAcentral describes it as "partial 28S ribosomal RNA". It matches the Rfam family "Eukaryotic large subunit ribosomal RNA", at positions 1 to 159 of the family's 3401-position model. Lineage: Eukaryota; Fungi; Basidiomycota; Agaricomycetes; Boletales. The record is from RNAcentral.